Molecule: ribosomal RNA, 253 nt
Filed under: uncultured prokaryote
Description: partial 16S ribosomal RNA
Rfam family: Bacterial small subunit ribosomal RNA
Source: RNAcentral
UACAGAGGUCUCAAGCGUUGUUCGGAUUCAUUGGGCGUAAAGGGUGCGUAGGCGGCGCGGUAAGUCGGGUGUGAAAUCUCGGGGCUUAACUCCGAAACUGCAUUCGAUACUGCCGUGCUUGAGGACUGGAGAGGAGACUGGAAUUUACGGUGUAGCGGUGAAAUGCGUAGAUAUCUGAAGGAACACCAGUGGCGAAAGCGGCUUCCUGGUCCAGUACCGACGUUCAGGCACGAAAGCGUGGGGAGCAAACGGG